Dorea sp. CAG:105 is the source of this 113-nucleotide regulatory RNA element. It matches the Rfam family "Glycine riboswitch aptamer". Rfam says of the family: This family represents the bacterial glycine riboswitch. Glycine riboswitches usually consist of two metabolite-binding aptamers domains with similar structures in tandem. Lineage: Bacteria; Bacillati; Bacillota; Clostridia; Lachnospirales; Lachnospiraceae. The record is from Rfam.
UGAUGUUUUCCAAGAGAGAGUUGAACGGAUCAGCCGCCGAAGAGGCAAGCCGGACAUACAUGGUGGGUAUGCAAAAAGGUGAAACUUUCAGGCAAAAGGACUGGAAAAUGUAC